Molecule: ribosomal RNA, 430 nt
Filed under: uncultured bacterium
Lineage: Bacteria
Description: partial 16S ribosomal RNA
Rfam family: Bacterial small subunit ribosomal RNA
Source: RNAcentral
GCGAACGCUGGCGGCAGGCUUAACACAUGCAAGUCGAGCGCCCCGCAAGGGGAGCGGCCGACGGGAGAGUAACACGUGGGAACAUACCUUUUGGUUCGGAACAACUGAGGGAAACUUCAGCUAAUACCGGAUAAGCCCUUACGGGGAAAGAUUUAUCGCCGAAAGAUUGGCCCGCGUCUGAUUAGCUAGUUGGUGAGGUAACGGCUCACCAAGGCGACGAUCAGUAGCUGGUCUGAGAGGAUGAUCAGCCUCACUGGGACUGAGACACGGCCCAGACUCCUACGGGAGGCAGCAGUGGGGAAUAUUGGACAAUGGGGGCAACCCUGAUCCAGCCAUGCCGCGUGAGUGAUGAAGGCCUUAGGGUUGUAAAGCUCUUUUGCCCGGGAAGAUAAUGACGGUACCGGGAGAAUAAGCCCCGGCUAACUUCGUG